This 471-nucleotide ribosomal RNA is filed under the name uncultured bacterium. RNAcentral describes it as "bacterial SSU rRNA". It matches the Rfam family "Bacterial small subunit ribosomal RNA", at positions 329 to 793 of the family's 1533-position model. The record is from RNAcentral.
CUGAGCACUCCUACGGGAGGCAGCAGUGGGGAAUAUUGCACAAUGGGCGCAAGCCUGAUGCAGCCAUGCCGCGUGUAUGAAGAAGGCCUUCGGGUUGUAAAGUACUUUCAGCAGUGAGGAAGGUGGAUAUGUUAAUAGCAUAUUCAUUUGACGUUAGCUGCAGAAGAAGCACCGGCUAACUCCGUGCCAGCAGCCGCGGUAAUACGGAGGGUGCGAGCGUUAAUCGGAAUUACUGGGCGUAAAGCGCAUGCAGGUGGUUUGUUAAGUCAGAUGUGAAAGCCCGGGGCUCAACCUCGGAAUUGCAUUUGAAACUGGCAAACUAGAGUACUGUAGAGGGGGUAGAAUUUCAGGUGUAGCGGUGAAAUGCGUAGAGAUCUGAAGGAAUACCGGUGGCGAAGGCGGCCCCCUGGACAGAUACUGACACUCAGAUGCGAAAGCGUGGGGAGCAAACAGGAUUAGAUACCCUGGUAG